This 420-nucleotide ribosomal RNA is filed under the name Triticum aestivum (bread wheat). Its description in RNAcentral is "partial small subunit ribosomal RNA". The record is from RNAcentral. Lineage: Eukaryota; Viridiplantae; Streptophyta; Magnoliopsida; Poales; Poaceae.
AUGGUUACCCACAAGGUUGAUAACUGCCCUGUUAGAAGGAAGCCGCAUAGCUCUGCUAGAUAUGUGGGAAGUGCUGCACCAGGGUUAGGGUUCUAUCACAUAGACCCACCUGAUGAAAAUGCUCAGUAUCAUGGUUCUUUGAAGAAUGUGGGGAUUAUUCUAGUUGAGGCUGGUGAAGUGACCAAACAGGAGCUUGCCACUGAGUUUGCAGACAUCUAUAAAACCAACUGGCCCUGGCCAAUCAAUGCCCUGGAUGAAUGGACAUUUCUGGCCAAAUUCCCACCUGAGAUAGAUGUAGUUCAAGUUGCUGGAUACCCAUGCUUUGGCCUCAAGAAAGACAAUGUUGUAGUUAAUGUUGAAGUCUGGAAAGGCAAGAUUGAGGCUGAAGAGGAUCUCCAGGAAACUUGGAUCAAAAAUUAG